UUGAACGCUGGCGGCAGGCCUAACACAUGCAAGUCGAGCGGAUGAAGGGAGCUUGCUCCUGGAUUCAGCGGCGGACGGGUGAGUAAUGCCUAGGAAUCUGCCUGGUAGUGGGGGAUAACGUCCGGAAACGGGCGCUAAUACCGCAUACGUCCUGAGGGAGAAAGUGGGGGAUCUUCGGACCUCACGCUAUCAGAUGAGCCUAGGUCGGAUUAGCUAGUUGGUGGGGUAAAGGCCUACCAAGGCGACGAUCCGUAACUGGUCUGAGAGGAUGAUCAGUCACACUGGAACUGAGACACGGUCCAGACUCCUACGGGAGGCAGCAGUGGGGAAUAUUGGACAAUGGGCGAAAGCCUGAUCCAGCCAGGCCGCGUGUGUGAAGAAGGUCUUCGGAUUGUAAAGCACUUUAAGUUGGGAGGAAGGGCAGUAAGUUAAUACCUUGCUGUUUUGACGUUACCAACAGAAUAAGCACCGGCUAACUUCGUG
Molecule: ribosomal RNA, 483 nt
Filed under: uncultured bacterium
Lineage: Bacteria
Description: partial 16S ribosomal RNA
Rfam family: Bacterial small subunit ribosomal RNA
Source: RNAcentral